Molecule: long non-coding RNA, 260 nt
Filed under: Homo sapiens (human)
Lineage: Eukaryota; Metazoa; Chordata; Mammalia; Primates; Hominidae
Description: HSALNT0099460
Source: RNAcentral
CCAGCACCCGCUCUAUCCCAGCACCCACUGUAUCCCAGCACCCGCUCUAUCCCAGCACCCACUCUAUCCCAGCACCCACUCUAUCCCAGCACCCGCUCUAUCCCAGCACCCACUGUAUCCCAGCACCCACUCUAUCCCAGCACCCACUCUAUCCCAGCACCCGCUCUAUCCCAGCACCCGCUCUAUCCCAGCACCUGCUCUAUCCCAGCACCCACUCUAUCCCAGCACCCACUCUAUCCCAGCACCCACUCUAUCCCAGC